Long non-coding RNA from Oncorhynchus tshawytscha (Chinook salmon), 1173 nucleotides. NCBI's taxonomy places the organism in Eukaryota, Metazoa, Chordata, Actinopteri, Salmoniformes, Salmonidae. The record is from Ensembl.
CAGCUCACAGGACUGAAUAGUGGAGGUUGAACCUGGAAUAUAACUCCAGGGGCUUGUCAGCUCACAGGACUGAAUAGCGGAGGUUGAACCUGGAAUAUAACUCCAGGGGCUUGUCAGCUCACAGGACUGAAUAGUGGAGGUUGAACCUGGCAUAUAACUCCAGGGGCUUGUCAGCUCACAGGACUGAAUAGUGGAGGUUGAACCUGGAAUAUAACUCCAGGGGCUUGUCAGCUCACAGGACUGAAUAGUGGAGGUUGAACCAAGAAUAUAACUCCAGGGGCUUGUCAGCUCACAGGACUGAAUAGUGGAGGUUGAACCAAGAAUACAACUCCAGGGGCUUGUCAGCAUAGGACUGAAUAGUGGAGGUUGAACCAAGAAUAUAACUCCAGGGGCUUGUCAGCAUAGGACUGAAUAGUGGAGGUUGAACCUGGAAUAUAACUCCAGGGGCUUGUCAGCAUAGGACUGAAUAGUGGAGGUUGAACCUGGAAUAUAACUCCAGGGGCUUGUCAGCUCACAGGACUGAAUAGUGGAGGUUGAACCUGGAAUAUAACUCCAGGGGCUUGUCAGCUCACAGGACUGAAUAGUGGAGGUUGAACCAAGAAUAUAACUCCAGGGGCUUGUCAGCAUAGGACUGAAUAGUGGAGGUUGAACCAAGAAUAUAUCUCCAGGGGCUUGUCAGCAUAGGACUGAAUAGUGGAGGUUGAACCUGGAAUAUAACUCCAGGGGCUUGUCAGCAUAGGACUGAAUAGUAGAGGUUGAACCUGGCAUAUAACUCCAGGGGCUUGUCAGCAUAGGACUGAAUAGUGGAGGUUGAACCUGGCAUAUAACUCCAGGGGCUUGUCAGCAUAGGACUGAAUAGUGGAGGUUGAACCUGGCAUAUAACUCCAGGGGCUUGUCAGCUCACAGGACUGAAUAGUGGAGGUUGAACCUGGCAUAUAACUCCAGGGGCUUGUCAGCUCAUAGGACUGAAUAGUGGAGGUUGAACCUGGCAUAUAACUCCAGGGGCUUGUCAGCACAGGACUGAAUAGUGGAGGUUGAACCAAUAAUAUAACUCCAGGGGCUUGUCAGCAUAGGACUGAAUAGUGGAGGUUGAACCUGGCAUAUAACUCCAGGGGCUUGUCAGCAUAGGACUGAAUAGUGGAGGUUGAACCUGGCAUAUAACUCCAGGGGCUU